Molecule: ribosomal RNA, 174 nt
Filed under: uncultured bacterium
Lineage: Bacteria
Description: partial 16S ribosomal RNA
Rfam family: Bacterial small subunit ribosomal RNA
Source: RNAcentral
UGGAAUUGCUAGUAAUGGCAGGUCAGCAUACUGCCGUGAAUACGUUCCCGGGCCUUGUACACACCGCCCGUCACACCAUGAGAGUUGGAAAUACCCGAAGCCUGUGAGCUAACUGUAAAGAGGCAGCAGUCGAAGGUAGAGCCAAUGAUUGGGGUGAAGUCGUAACAAGGUAAC